RNAcentral lists this ribosomal RNA (429 nucleotides) under uncultured bacterium. RNAcentral's name for it is "bacterial SSU rRNA". It matches the Rfam family "Bacterial small subunit ribosomal RNA", at positions 28 to 458 of the family's 1533-position model. The record is from RNAcentral.
GACGAACGCUGGCGGCGUGCUUAACACAUGCAAGUCGAGCGGUAAGGCCCUUUCGGGGGUACACGAGCGGCGAACGGGUGAGUAACACGUGGGUGACCUGCCCUCAGCUCUGGGAUAAGCCUGGGAAACCGGGUCUAAUACUGGAUAUGACUCCAUGACGCAUGUUGUGGGGUGGAAAGCCUUGUGCGGCUGAGGAUGGGCCCGCGGCCUAUCAGCUUGUUGGUGGGGUGANGGCCUACCAAGGCGACGACGGGUAGCCGGCCUGAGAGGGCGACCGGCCACACUGGGACUGAGACACGGCCCAGACUCCUACGGGAGGCAGCAGUGGGGAAUAUUGGACAAUGGGCGCAAGCCUGAUCCAGCGAUGCCGCGUGUGUGAAGAAGGCCUGCGGGUUGUAAAGCACUUUCAGUAGGGAAGAAAAGCCGAGU